This 429-nucleotide ribosomal RNA is filed under the name Myxogastria sp. PS03. Its description in RNAcentral is "SSU rRNA". It matches the Rfam family "Eukaryotic small subunit ribosomal RNA", at positions 1230 to 1644 of the family's 1831-position model. The record is from RNAcentral. Lineage: Eukaryota; Evosea; Eumycetozoa.
ACACGUAUGAAAGUCAAGCUGAAAGACUUUACUCAAUGAUGUAAGUGGUGGUGCAUGGUCGUUCGUAGUUCGUGGAUUGAUUUGUCUGGUUUAUUCCGAUAACGAGCGAGACCCCAACGUUCCUAAUAGGAGCGUUAGCCCGGCCCGCCGCAAGGCGGUGCUAGCUAUCGCUUUAAGAUUUGCUUCUUAGACGUAUCAGAGCCGAUAAGGCGCUUGAAAUGGGUUAAUAACAGGUCAGUGAUGCCCUUAGAUGUUCUGGGCCGCACGCGCGUUACAAUGGCAUGUAAAGCGAGUGCUUAUCCAAAAGGCUUUGCCGGGGCCGAAAGGCUUCGGUAAUCCUUAAUCCCUGCCUUGACUGGGAUAGAUCAUUGCAAUUAUUGGUCUCAAACGAGGAAUUUUUAGUAGGCGCAGGUCAUUAACCUGCGUCGA